This 1416-nucleotide ribosomal RNA is filed under the name Triticum aestivum (bread wheat). RNAcentral's name for it is "partial small subunit ribosomal RNA". The record is from RNAcentral. Lineage: Eukaryota; Viridiplantae; Streptophyta; Magnoliopsida; Poales; Poaceae.
AUGAUUGAGUCAAUAAUUUGUAAACUGAACAUAAUUUAUGUUGCCCCAAAUGAGAUACCACAGGCAAAAGAUCGGUUAAUAUCAAAUUCUGAUUACUAUUAUGAUAUGUCUUACUCGGUGGCAUGUUCCACAUUUGCAAAUUUGCCAGCAGAAAAUGAUGAUGCAGAAGACAGUGAUGCAACUUCAAAUAUAUCUUGUGAAGAGGGGAAACCAGUGGCUGAUCUUGUGACAUACAGUCUGCUCGAUCUAUAUUCAGGGUGUGGGGCUAUGUCAACAGGGCUCUGCCUUGGUGCAGAAUUGGCUGGCAUAAAACUAGAAACUAUAUGGGCUGUGGACAUGAACUCACAUGCUUGUGAGAGCCUAAAGCAUAACCACCCUUCAACACAGGUACGAAAUGAGAAGGCUGAAGAUUUCCUAUCCCUCCUUCAACAGUGGAAUGCACUCUGUAAGAAAUAUGUCAUCCACGGCAGCAAUUCUUUGGGCUCUGAUCUAGCUCAGGCAUCAAACGAUGAUGGAAAUGAUGAAAACGAAUCUCUACCAAAGGAUGUAUUUGAGGUAGAGAGGCUUGUUGAUAUAUGCUAUGGCGAUCCAAAUAAGACUGGAAAAAAUGGCUUAUGGUUUAAGGUUCGGUGGAAAAAAUAUGAUGCUAGUCAAGAUACAUGGGAGCCAAUUGAUGGUCUGAGCUAUUCCUAUGAGUGCAUUAAAGAAUUUGUUCAGAGUGGAUAUAGGGAUUCCAUUCUGCCUUUGCCUGGCUCUGUGGAUCUUAUUUGUGGGGGUCCUCCCUGCCAAGGCGUUAGUGGAUUCAACAGAUUCAGAAAGCCUGAUGAUCCGCUGACGGAUGAAAAGAACAAGCAAUUGGUUGUCUUUAUGGAUAUUGUGAAAUAUCUGCGACCUAAAUAUGUUCUUAUGGAGAACGUUGUAGACAUCUUGAAAUUUGCAGAUGGGUUCCUCGGCCACUAUGCAUUGAGUCGCCUUGUCUCUAUGAACUACCAGGCCAGGCUUGGGGUGAUGGUUGCGGGUUGUUAUGGGCUGCCGCAGUUUAGGAUGAGGGCAUUUAUCUGGGGAGCUCUUCCUUCCAUGGUUCUUCCGAAAUUCCCACUUCCCACCCAUGAUGUUAUUAAGCGAGGACUAGUGCCAAAUGCAUUUUUGCGGUGUCUCGUUGCUUAUGAGGAAACAGCAAAUAAAUACUUGAAAAAAGCUCUUGUCCUCGAAGAUGCAAUAUCUGAUUUACAGGAGGUUCAAAACAAUCAGCCUAAUGAUGUCAUGGAGUAUGGCAGUGACCCCAAAACAGAGUUCCAACGCUAUAUCCGGCUUAGCAGUAAAGGUGUGACCAGGGAGUUAAUGUCAGCAAGCAGUCCCGUUGGGUCAUAUACCUGCAUACUGAGAUGGAUGAUUCUGAAUAAACACCUAUCAUAA